CAUAGCGACUAUCGUGGCAUAUCAAUAAGCGGAGGAAAAGAAACUAACAAGGAUUCCCUUAGUAACGGCGAGUGAAGCGGGAAGAGCUCAAAUUUGAAAUCUUCAAGGUUCUACCUUGACGAAUUGUAGUUUAUAGAAGUGUUUUCUGUUAGUGGAGUGGCAAAAGUUCUUUGGAAUAGGACAUCAUAGAGGGUGAGAAUCUCGUAUUUGGUCAUUCCUCCUAGCGUUGUGAUACACUUUCAACGAGUCGGAUUGUUUGGGAAUGCAGUCCAAAAUGGGUGGUAAAUUUCAUCUAAAGCUAAAUAUUGGCGAGAGACCGAUAGCGAACAAGUACCGUGAGGGAAAGAUGAAAAGAACUUUGAAAAGAGAGUUAAACAGUACGUGAAAUUGUCAAAAGGGAAGCGUUUGACACCAGUGUUGUUUAGUUGAAAAUCGAUUCAAUAAUUUUUGAUUUUAAGUAGUAUUGACUUCAUCAGCUUGCUGCUUUCUUUUCAGGAAUUAUUGAAUGCACUUUUCAGUUAACAAGUCAACAUCAAUUUCUUUUGUUGUAAAAGGGUAAGAGGAAGGUGGCUUACGCUUCGGCGUAAGUGUUUAUAGCCUUUUACCUCUGCAAUCGGAGAGAUUGAGGACAGCAGCGUAGACUCUUCGGGGUUAGAUACACUUGUGCUAAGCUAUAGCCUUGUAUAGACAACUUGUUGACUAUGCUCAGUCAUGUAGCUUACUCGCUUGUGCUAUUUUACCUACGCUUAGGAUGUUGAUAGUCACAGCGUGUAC
Molecule: ribosomal RNA, 774 nt
Filed under: uncultured Neocallimastigales
Lineage: Eukaryota; Fungi; Neocallimastigomycota; Neocallimastigomycetes; Neocallimastigales
Description: partial large subunit ribosomal RNA
Rfam family: Eukaryotic large subunit ribosomal RNA
Source: RNAcentral